AGCUCUAAUAGCGUAUAUUAAAGUUGUUGCGGUUAAAAAGCUCGUAGUUGGAUCUCGGGAGGGCACGCACGGUCCGGUGAAAACCGCGAACAGCUGCGGGCCUUCCUUCCGUCUGGAGGCGGUACCCGGUUCCACUUGAUUGUGGGGUGGGUCUGAAUCCAGGACCUUUACUUUGAACAAAUUAGAGUGUUUAAAGCAGGCAAUUCGCCCGAAUACAUUAGCAUGGAAUGACAAUAUAGGACUUUAGUUCUAUUUUGUUGGUUUUAAGAACUGAAGUAAUGAUUAAUAGGGACGGUUGGGGGCAUUCGUAUUACACUGUCAGAGGUGAAAUUCGUAGAUCUGUGUAAGACGAACUUCUGCGAAAGCAUUUGCCAAGGAUGUUUUCAUUG
This 389-nucleotide ribosomal RNA is filed under the name Amastigomonas sp. Its description in RNAcentral is "partial small subunit ribosomal RNA". It matches the Rfam family "Eukaryotic small subunit ribosomal RNA", at positions 587 to 975 of the family's 1831-position model. The record is from RNAcentral. Lineage: Eukaryota; Apusomonadida; Apusomonadidae.